Molecule: unclassified non-coding RNA, 196 nt
Filed under: uncultured fungus
Lineage: Eukaryota; Fungi
Description: sequence contains ITS1
Source: RNAcentral
UUAAAAACCAUUACCAGCCAAGGGUCGAAAAGCCUGCUGUUGGUAUUGGAUUCAACCACUUGCUUAUCCUUACCUGUUGCUUCCGUGGAAUUAUGGGGGCCUGCCUUGCUUGCAAGCGUUAGGUUACUCUCCACGGGUAUUUUUUGAACUCUUGUGUUUUAGUUUGUGCUGUCUGAACAAUAUUUAUAAAGUCUUA